GUGACUCAUUCAUCACACAACAGUCUACUUUAAGCUUGCCCGACGUCUAGGUGACUCAUUCAUCACACAAAAGUCUACUUUUAGGGGCUUGCAUGACGCCCAGGUGACUCAUUCAUCACACAACAGUCUACUUCAGGCUUGCGUGAGCCCAGGUGACUCAUUCAUCACACAACAGUCUACUUCAGGCUUGCGUGAGCCCAGGUGACUCAUUCAUCACACAACAGUCUACUUCAGGCUUGCGUGAGCCCAGGUGACUCAUUCAUCACACAACAGUCUACUUUAAGCUUGCACGACGUCUAGGUGACUCAUUCAUCACACAAAAGUCUACUUUAAGGGGCUUGCAUGACGCCCAGGUGACUCAUUCAUCACACAACAGUCUACUUCAGGCUUGCAUGACGCCCAGGUGACUCAUUCAUC
Leptidea sinapis is the source of this 417-nucleotide long non-coding RNA. RefSeq lists it as uncharacterized. The transcript is spliced from 3 exons. NCBI's taxonomy places the organism in Eukaryota, Metazoa, Arthropoda, Insecta, Lepidoptera, Pieridae. The record is from RefSeq and is a predicted model, not a curated record.